This 451-nucleotide ribosomal RNA is filed under the name uncultured bacterium. RNAcentral describes it as "partial 16S ribosomal RNA". It matches the Rfam family "Bacterial small subunit ribosomal RNA", at positions 354 to 796 of the family's 1533-position model. The record is from RNAcentral.
GUGGGGAAUAUUGGACAAUGGGGGGAACCCUGAUCCAGCCAUGCCGCGUGUGUGAAGAAGGCCUUUUGGUUGUAAAGCACUUUAAGCGAGGAGGAGGCUACCGAGAGUAAUACUCUUGGAUAGUGGACGUUACUCGCAGAAUAAGCACCGGCUAACUCUGUGCCAGCAGCCGCGGUAAUACAGAGGGUGCAAGCGUUAAUCGGAUUUACUGGGCGUAAAGCGCGCGUAGGUGGCCAAUUAAGUCAAAUGUGAAAUCCCCGAGCUUAACUUGGGAAUUGCAUUCGAUACUGGUUGGCUAGAGUAUGGGAGAGGAUGGUAGAAUUCCAGGUGUAGCGGUGAAAUGCGUAGAGAUCUGGAGGAAUACCGAUGGCGAAGGCAGCCAUCUGGCCUAAUACUGACACUGAGGUGCGAAAGCAUGGGGAGCAAACAGGAUUAGAUACCCGUGUAGUCC